UAGGGGAUCUUCGGCAAUGGACGGAAGUCUGACCGAGCAACGCCGCGUGAGUGAAGAAGGUUUUCGGAUCGUAAAGCUCUGUUGUUAGAGAAGAACGUUGGUAGGAGUGGAAAAUCUACCAAGUGACGGUAACUAACCAGAAAGGGACGGCUAACUACGUGCCAGCAGCCGCGGUAAUACGUAGGUCCCGAGCGUUGUCCGGAUUUAUUGGGCGUAAAGCGAGCGCAGGCGGUUCUUUAAGUCUGAAGUUAAAGGCAGUGGCUUAACCAUUGUACGCUUUGGAAACUGGAGGACUUGAGUGCAGAAGGGGAGAGUGGAAUUCCAUGUGUAGCGGUGAAAUGCGUAGAUAUAUGGAGGAACACCGGUGGCGAAAGCGGCUCUCUGGUCUGUAACUGACGCUGAGGCUCGAAAGCGUGGGGAGCAAACAGGAUUAGAUACCCUGGUAGUCCACGCCGUAAACGAUGAGUGCUAGGUGUUAGGCCCUUUCCGGGGCUUAGUGCCGCAGCUAACGCAUUAAGCACUCCGCCUGGGGAGUACGACCGCAAGGUUG
RNAcentral lists this ribosomal RNA (550 nucleotides) under uncultured bacterium. RNAcentral's name for it is "bacterial SSU rRNA". It matches the Rfam family "Bacterial small subunit ribosomal RNA", at positions 355 to 896 of the family's 1533-position model. The record is from RNAcentral.